This 28-nucleotide non-coding RNA is filed under the name Rattus norvegicus (Norway rat). The record is from RNAcentral. Lineage: Eukaryota; Metazoa; Chordata; Mammalia; Rodentia; Muridae.
UAAGUCUGCCACUUAAGGCUGAAAUUGC